This 206-nucleotide unclassified non-coding RNA is filed under the name uncultured fungus. Its description in RNAcentral is "sequence contains ITS1, 5.8S rRNA gene, ITS2 and 28S rRNA gene". The record is from RNAcentral. Lineage: Eukaryota; Fungi.
GGAAGGAUCAUUACCGAAUUGUCAAACACGGGUUGUUGCUGGCCCCCGAACGGGGCAUGUGCACGCUCUGUUUACACAUCCACUCACACCUGUGCACCCUCUGUAGUUCUGUGGACCGGGAGACGUCGUCUUCCUUCCGUAGCUCUACGUCUUUACACACACACCGUAGCGAUGUCUCAUGGAAUGUUUUUUCGCGUUUAACGCAA